ACAAAAAAACAGUGUGGAAAAUAAAACAAGUAGACUUGCUUUCUCCUUCUAUUCAUCCACUGGUGUACAAAUACUCUUCAGGCCAGGGGCCCACUGCCUGUUUUUGUUUAGCCCACGAAAAAUCUUAGGAGUUGGCUUUACAUUUUUAAAUGAUCAACAAAAAAUUCCUCAGAAAGAAGUAUUUCAUGACCCGGACAUUAUGGGAAGUCUAUAUAUCAAGUUUUAUUGGAACACAGUCACACUCUUGUUUACAUAACACUAAAACAGCAAAGUUGACUAGCGUGACACUGCCUGUCCCCCAAAGCCUUAAAAUACGAUCUUUUUUUUAAAAAAACAAAAAAAAAAACCAAAAACCCUUGUGGACGUCCCUCCUGACUCACUGAAAACCUACACAGUGAACGUAGUAUAUGAAGAGUUAAAUGGCAGAAAAAAAGAGAAAAGGAGACACAGGCAAAACUGAAGUGUGUGUUCACGCUCUAUCCUACCAAGUCACAGCAAACAGGGCCCGCGCUGCAGAGCAACAGGGAAGAGAGCCAAGCGGUCAGAUGUCACCUCAUUCCCACACUGCUCGGAACACACUUACUCGACCUGAAAACCUUCCAGACCCGAAGAUCCGUUAACAUACGCUUUCUCCAACUGUACGCAGUGGAGGCAGACGGCACACGAGGCCGAGGUGUUCCCAAGCAACACACACAUUACAUGCUUCCGACCUACGGAUGCCCCUCGGAAGCUGCUGGUCGUAGAGCCUGGGACAGUCAGCUGGGAGGCCACCCUGCUGUCGAGACAAGAUACAACGAGGACACAGCCAGCCGCACGGGAGGGCAGAGUGUGGGCGAGCGGCAAGCUGUCUUCCAUGACGGUCGUCACUACUGUGUUCACACGGAAGACCGAGACGGGCAUUUGAAUUCAAGGAUGGGCAAGAGCAGCAUCGGUCUGAAUAAUGCCUGCUCUACAAGCAGCCGCCCAGGCAUUAGUCACAAAUAUUAUCUGUAAAAGGGAGCGGGCUAGAAGAGUCCGCACCUCCCUACCCCUGUACUCCAAUAAAAUGAAGCUUGUUUAUCACGGCUCAUACACUUGAAAUAGUCUGGGAGGGUACAGUGUGCUGUUUACCUGCUGGGGUAACUAAGGAAAAACACCAUUUAGACCUCUGUGAAGAGCAGAGACGGGGACUGUCACGUCUAGACAAAGAUGAUGGAUUUUCUGAGGGGAAAUAUGAUUUAGUCCAGUAACGUGGCUCAGGUCAUGAUCUCGGUCAGUGAGUUCAAGCCCCACGUCGGGAUCUGUGCGGACACCUCAGAGCCCGGGGCCUGCUUCAGAUUCUGGGUCUCCCUCUCUCUCUGCCCCUCCACCACUCGUGCUCUUUCUUUCUCUCUCUCUCUCAAAAAAUAAAUAAACAUUACGAAAAAAUUAAUUAACCAGUAGGGACUCUAAGGUUUAGAGCACGGUUUCUCUCAACAAGUUUGUUCCCUCGUUUUAAGUUAAUAGCUUUAAACAAAAACAGAAAGAAGCUCAAGACCCUGAAGAAAAACAUUUCUGAACACUCACUGAAUAUUAAACGUCGAAUUACCAGUGAUGCAGCAAAUCCGCUACUGGGCACAUGAAAACACACAUCCACACAAACUCGUACACAAAUGUUCCCGGCAGUAUCAUCCACGACAGCCGAGGAGUGGAGACAAGCACAAGAUGUGGAACAUCCAUAGGACGGAGUGGGAGUUGGCAAUGAGAAGAAACAAAAUACUAAUCGAUGUGACAACACGGUUCAACCUUGAAACAGGAAGCUGAGUCAGAGAAGCCAGUUGUCAAAGAGCUCAGCGUUCCAUGUUAUUCCACGUACGUGAGGUUCUAGAAUGGGCAGACGCACAGCAACAGGCGGGAGAUGAGGGACCCCGGGAGGGUAGGGUGGGGCGGGAUGGGCUGGUGGUGCUGGGCCGCUACCGCGGACCGUGGUCACCGCUGCACAGCUCUGAAACAUACUGAAAACGACGAAGCCGUGUACCUGUGCGGGUGGAUUUUAUGGUACGGGAAUUAUAGCUCAAUGAAGCUGCUAUGAAAAAAACUACUGAACUCAUUUAUUUUUUUGGUCGCUAAAAAUGACCUGCUACACAUUUUAGACAGCUAGUAGAGAACUGGAAGUUAAAAUCUCAUUUUUGCUCUCAGUUUUCUGUACCAAGAAAGAAGAAUCAGGUUUAAGAAGGGUUACUAGAGCCCGUUCUGUGGGAAUUCUCAUUUUGUGACAUGUUCAACGUGAUGACAAGCCGAAGUCCUGUGCUCAGGGAAAAUCCUGUUGGUUACCAUCGCCAAGGGACCCACGGAGAAGGGCCCACUCCCCACAGCUACGCGGUGCGGCGCCCACGGUCUACGAAAGCUGAACUGCAGCAACACACCCACAUUUAUACGUGAUGGAACAAGAGAAAAGGGGGAAAUACCGUUGUUUAAAAAAAUACAAGCGUUGCCCAAACAAACAAAAGGCUAUAAAUCAGACACAACAGACCAAGCUAAACACAUUUUGUGCUUACACAGACUUAAUGCCACUUACCGC
This is a long non-coding RNA of Acinonyx jubatus (cheetah), 2539 nucleotides long. RefSeq lists it as uncharacterized. Lineage: Eukaryota; Metazoa; Chordata; Mammalia; Carnivora; Felidae. The record is from RefSeq and is a predicted model, not a curated record. The transcript is spliced from 3 exons.